CCUGAACGCUGGCGGCGUGGCUAAGACAUGCAAGUCGUACGGGGUAGCAAUACCCAGUGGCGAACGGGUGAGUAAUGUAUCGCUAACGUGCCCCCGAGUCAGGGAUAGCUGCCCGAAAGGGCAGGUAAUACCUGAUAAGACCACGACCGGGCAUCCGGUUGUGCUCAAAGCAGCAAUGCGCUCAGGGAGCGGGCGAUAUCGUAUCAGCUAGUUGGUGAGGUAACGGCUCACCAAGGCGACGACGCGUAGCCGGACUGAGAGGUUGGCCGGCCACAUUGGGACUGAGACACUGCCCAGACUCCUACGGGGGGCUGCAGUAACGAAUCUUCCGCAAUGCACGAAAGUGUGACGGAGCGACGCCGCGUGUGGGACGAAGUCCU
RNAcentral lists this ribosomal RNA (380 nucleotides) under uncultured bacterium. RNAcentral's name for it is "bacterial SSU rRNA". It matches the Rfam family "Bacterial small subunit ribosomal RNA", at positions 30 to 417 of the family's 1533-position model. The record is from RNAcentral.